UGCAAUUUCCCCACCUCUGGAAAUCCAUUCCUACUCCCACACUGUUGAAAGGGCGUUCAUCCCAAAUUGUGCAGCCAAAAGUCUGCAGAGACUCAGCCCUCCAGACCAUGGCCGUCCCAAAGGUGCACCCCUUAAGAGCCAACUGGACUUUUCUGUCCCUUCUCCGAAGACUCCUCACCUCUCAUCCAAGAAGCCUCCCCAGCUCCAACAGGACAUUGGAGAAUGGAAGGAUUCACAUUCCCCGCAGGCAGCUGGUCACCUGCAUCCUUCCAGAGGAUCACCGAAGCAUCCGGAGGCCCCUCUGUGUCCCCAGGGUCACCUGAGCAGUGCUCCCAGUUCCUCCCAGUCCACAAUUUUCCUUUUCUCUUCUGGAAAUCCAUUCCCACUCCCACACUAUUGAAAGGGUGCUCAUCCCAAACUAUGUAGCUGAAAGUCUGUAGAUUCUCAGUUAUCCAAAUCAUGGUUGUCCCAAAGGUGCCCCUUCAGGAGGCAACUGAACUUUCAUGCUUGUAGAGAUUCUUCAAAGAAAAAUAGUCCAGUUGCCUCCUGAGGGUUAGGCUUCGCAAGAGAGUGAGUUGUUUUAAGUCCAAAUGUAACCUGUUUUCCCAUUCCCAAUGCUGAUCUGCCUUAAUUGCAUUAAUACUUCAACUAUGUCCACAGGUUUCUUGACUACUGCAAAGACAAUAAAGCUUGGAAGGGAUAUAAACACAGUACAGUAGACGAUGAGUUGCCAAUAGCAGAGCUGUCUUCUCUCAACAUAAAUGAUCAGCCAGCAGGUAACAGCUUACAAGAGACAAGUUACAUCCAGCAGCAAAUGGAGCCACAAUGGAGAUGUGAACAUUGAAACUAGUGCUGUGUGAUCCUGGUGAACACAGCCUUCUUGAAAAUUUCUGCAGGAUUGACAGACCAGACAAGUAGUUAAAUUUUAUUUGAUCUUCAUACCUGCUAUUUCUCAGGAGUAAAUAUCAGGGUUCCCAAAAUUCUGCUUAAAUAAAUAAUGCAGUAGAAAUCCAUGUGCGGUUACCACUAAUGACCAAAUUAUGUAUGUAUUCUUUCAUGAGUGCCUGCACAUUUGUAAUGCUGAGAACAACUGCAUAUGGGCACCUGUAGGGUAGGUCUGAGGAAUGGUAAUUGAAAUAUGUUUUGAUAUUUCAAACAGUGAUUACAUUUCAGUAUCAAGAGAUACUGUAGAGAUUAGUAGAGAUUAUGAAGAAUUUUGGGGAGAGGAUAGGACAAGGGAAAGUAGAAACUUACCAAAACCUUGUUAAGUUUCAAGACUUAGAUUUUAUCUAAUCAAUUUUUGUACUAAAUUUAUUAAAAUGCAUUAUAAAAUUUAA
Molecule: non-coding RNA, 1337 nt
Organism: Thamnophis sirtalis
Lineage: Eukaryota; Metazoa; Chordata; Lepidosauria; Squamata; Natricidae
Source: RefSeq, a predicted model, not a curated record